RNAcentral lists this ribosomal RNA (576 nucleotides) under Hyphoderma transiens. RNAcentral describes it as "eukaryotic LSU rRNA". It matches the Rfam family "Eukaryotic large subunit ribosomal RNA", at positions 66 to 648 of the family's 3401-position model. Lineage: Eukaryota; Fungi; Basidiomycota; Agaricomycetes; Polyporales; Hyphodermataceae. The record is from RNAcentral.
UAACAAGGAUUCCCCUAGUAACUGCGAGUGAAGCGGGAAAAGCUCAAAUUUAAAAUCUGGCGGUCUUUGGCUGUCCGAGUUGUAGUCUGGAGAAGCAUUUUCCGUGCUGGACCGUGUACAAGUCUCCUUGGAAUAGGGCGUCAUAGAGGGUGAGAAUCCCGUCUUUGACACGGACUGCCAGUGCUAUGUGAUGUGCUCUCAACGAGUCGAGUUGUUUGGGAAUGCAGCUCAAAAUGGGUGGUAAAUUCCAUCUAAAGCUAAAUAUUGGCGAGAGACCGAUAGCGAACAAGUACCGUGAGGGAAAGAUGAAAAGCACUUUGGAAAGAGAGUUAAACAGUACGUGAAAUUGCUGAAAGGGAAACGCUUGAAGUCAGUCGCGUCUAUCAGAAUUCAACUCGGUCUUGACCUUGUGUAUUUUCUGGUUGACGGGCCAGCAUCAAUUUCGAUCAUUGGAAAAAGGUCUUGGGAAUGUGGCAUCUUCUGAUGUGUUAUAGCCCUUGAUUGUAUACGAUGGUUGGGAUUGAGGUUCUCAGCACGCAUGUGCUUUAGGAUGCUGGCGUAAUGGCUUUAAACGAC